UUACUCCUAGGGGGGCAGCAGUCGGGAAUAUUGCGCAAUGGAGGAAACUCUGACGCAGUGACGCCGCGUAUAGGAAGAAGGUUUUCGGAUUGUAAACUAUUGUCAUCAGGGAAGAUAAAAGACAGUACCUGAGGAGGAAGCUCCGGCUAACUAUGUGCCAGCAGCCGCGGUAAUACAUAGGGAGCAAGCGUUAUCCGGAUUUAUUGGGUGUAAAGGGUGCGUAGACGGGAAAGCAAGUUAGUUGUGAAAUCCCUCGGCUUAACUGAGGAACUGCAAUUAAAACUGUUUUUCUUGAGUGUCGGAGA
Molecule: ribosomal RNA, 305 nt
Filed under: uncultured bacterium
Lineage: Bacteria
Description: bacterial SSU rRNA
Rfam family: Bacterial small subunit ribosomal RNA
Source: RNAcentral